UGCAAGUCGAGGGGCAGCAUGAACUUAGCUUGCUAAGUUUGAUGGCGACCGGCGCACGGGUGAGUAACACGUAUCCAACCUGCCGAUGACUCGGGGAUAGCCUUUCGAAAGAAAGAUUAAUACCCGAUGGCAUAGUUCUUCCACAUGGUAGAACUAUUAAAGAAUUUCGGUCAUCGAUGGGGAUGCGUUCCAUUAGGUUGUUGGCGGGGUAACGGCCCACCAAGCCUUCGAUGGAUAGGGGUUCUGAGAGGAAGGUCCCCCACAUUGGAACUGAGACACGGUCCAAACUCCUACGGGAGGCAGCAGUGAGGAAUAUUGGUCAAUGGACGAGAGUCUGAACCAGCCAAGUAGCGUGAAGGAUGACUGCCCUAUGGGUUGUAAACUUCUUUUAUACGGGAAUAAAGUGAGGCACGUGUGCCUUUUUGUAUGUACCGUAUGAAUAAGGAUCGGCUAACUCCGUGCCAGCAGCCGCGGUAAUACGGAGGAUCCGAGCGUUAUCCGGAUUUAUUGGGUUUAAAGGGAGCGUAGGCGGACGCUUAAGUCAGUUGUGAAAGUUUGCGGCU
RNAcentral lists this ribosomal RNA (563 nucleotides) under uncultured bacterium. RNAcentral's name for it is "bacterial SSU rRNA". It matches the Rfam family "Bacterial small subunit ribosomal RNA", at positions 56 to 609 of the family's 1533-position model. The record is from RNAcentral.